CCACAAGAGGAAGCGGCCAAGCUGAUUUGUUCAGAGGGUUUGAGACCAUUAUUCAAGAAUAAACCCAAAUCAUAUCCCGAGGGUGUGAAAGAGCUAAUACAAGAGUGCUGGGAUCCAACACCUUCCGGCAGGCCAACGUUCUCGGAUAUAAUUGAACGCCUGAACAAGAUAUCUGCAAGUUGUUCCAAGCAAACUCGCUGGAGAGACAACUUCAAGCUACUGUGGAAACAAGCUGUGCACAAAUAGUUCUGAUCUUCCAUGAGACUGUCGAUGAGAUUCCCCCCUUUUUUGCAUAUCUUAGUAAACACGGUGAAAAUUAUAUUGGUAUACGGGACAGAAGUUGUUCCUUUACAAGGUUUUUGUAUGUCCAGUUAUACUUUCUUUCUUUUUAUACCUCUGGUUAAGUGUAUUUCGAGUUAUGU
This is a long non-coding RNA of Triticum dicoccoides, 422 nucleotides long. RefSeq lists it as uncharacterized. The transcript has 3 exons. Lineage: Eukaryota; Viridiplantae; Streptophyta; Magnoliopsida; Poales; Poaceae. The record is from RefSeq and is a predicted model, not a curated record.